AUUGAACGCUGGCGGCAGGCCUAACACAUGCAAGUCGAGCGGCAGCGGGAAAGUAGCUUGCUACUUUUGCCGGCGAGCGGCGGACGGGUGAGUAAUGCCUGGGGAUCUGCCCAGUCGAGGGGGAUAACAGUUGGAAACGACUGCUAAUACCGCAUACGCCCUACGGGGGAAAGCAGGGGACCUUCGGGCCUUGCGCGAUUGGAUGAACCCAGGUGGGAUUAGCUAGUUGGUGAGGUAAUGGCUCACCAAGGCGACGAUCCCUAGCUGGUCUGAGAGGAUGAUCAGCCACACUGGAACUGAGACACGGUCCAGACUCCUACGGGAGGCAGCAGUGGGGAAUAUUGCACAAUGGGGGAAACCCUGAUGCAGCCAUGCCGCGUGUGUGAAGAAGGCCUUCGGGUUGUAAAGCACUUUCAGCGAGGAGGAAAGGUUGGUAGCGAAUAACUGCCAGCUGUGACGUUACUCGCAGAAGAAGCACCGGCUAACUCC
RNAcentral lists this ribosomal RNA (489 nucleotides) under uncultured bacterium. RNAcentral describes it as "bacterial SSU rRNA". It matches the Rfam family "Bacterial small subunit ribosomal RNA", at positions 30 to 504 of the family's 1533-position model. The record is from RNAcentral.